AACAGCUCUACCCUGUGUACGUGCUUUAGAAAAUAAUGCUAUUUACCUUAAUUUUCACAUUUUCAACAAAGAGCAGGCACGAUUUGCUAGUGAACAGGACCCCAAUUUAUUGUUUCCCUUAUUACUAUAUUUCUCUACUGUUCUUAUGAUUCUACUUUAAGAAGACAUUAAUUUAAUACUAUGGAGUUGUAAUUUAUUAUAUUGGAUACCUAAAAGGGGUAGAAUCAGGUUGAACAAAGAAUUUUCUUGGCAUAAUUAGUACAAAUGUUUUGUUUAUGAAGUGCAGCAAUAUCUCCUUUAGACCCAGGCAAGAGGGACCCUGCUGUGAACCCUGGCACCCCGACACAUUUUAUGCACCCCAAUACCUAUGUUGCUUUGUUACAGGCAAAUGGUGCUUUCGUCUCUCAGGACCCCAUGCCCUGUGCUGGCACAGCAUGACCUAAAGCCCUAAACACCAACGCUUAUGUGCAACACUGCUCACCAAGGGAUAUCUCUUGACCUAUGCUCCCAACACACAAGGCACCUGCAUACAAAGGUCAUGAGAGUUUGUGGGUUGUAUGCCACUGAUGUCAAAGCAGAUACUGUUCCAAUUAGAGGAAGGAUUCCAGAGGAGGAAGCACUUAAGAAAGAAAAAAACAUAAUUGCCUGCCAAAUCCUUACACGUGGUUAGCAUGAAAGCAAUUAGCUCUUGCCUAAUUGAAAUAUUGGUAUGCUGAGCAUUCGUGUUCUUUUCACAUUCCAAUUCUGAUUCCUGAGGUACUUAAAUCACUUUGGUAUUCACCACAGUUGCGUAUAGCACCUGAGAAACAUUUUCUAACACUGAAUGAUGCAUGCUAUUCUUACAUUUGUAUGUAUGUAGGACUAGAUGUAACAAGCAUCUAUACCGUCAGUAGAGCAUAAAUUAUGUGCGGAUUUCAAUUAUAAUAACAUAAGUGUGAGCCACCGUGCCUAGCCAUAGUUUGAUUUUAAAUACCAAUAACCUUGAUAUUUUUGAAAGCCUACUUGUUUAUUUUCUCUCUGGUAUAUUGCAACUAUUUUUUUAAGAACAACUCAGCAAAAUAAAAUUCCUGUUUAUUGUUGGACAACAUUGUUUCAUGCAUAUAUCAAACAGGCCAAAAAAAACCCCAGCAACUUUAUAAACAAAAAAACGGAAAAAAAAGGCCGGGCGCAGUGGCUCACGCCUGUAACCCCAGCA
Molecule: long non-coding RNA, 1195 nt
Filed under: Homo sapiens (human)
Lineage: Eukaryota; Metazoa; Chordata; Mammalia; Primates; Hominidae
Description: HSALNT0152703
Source: RNAcentral